UGCCAGCCGCCGCGGUAAGACGGAGGGUGCAAACGUUGUUCGGAAUCACUGGGCAUAAAGAGCACGUAGGCGGCUAAGUCAGUCUGGUGUGAAAGCCCCCGGCUCAACCGGGGAAUUGCAUCGGAUACUGCUUGGCUUGAGGACGGUUGGGGUGAGUGGAACUCCUGGUGGAGCGGUGAAAUGCGUAGAUAUCUGGAGGAACACCGGUGGCGAAAGCGGCUCACUGGACCGUAUCUGACGCUGAGGUGCGAAAGCUAGGGUAGCAAACGGGAUUAGAUA
Molecule: ribosomal RNA, 279 nt
Filed under: uncultured bacterium
Lineage: Bacteria
Description: partial 16S ribosomal RNA
Rfam family: Bacterial small subunit ribosomal RNA
Source: RNAcentral